This 380-nucleotide ribosomal RNA is filed under the name uncultured organism. RNAcentral describes it as "partial 16S ribosomal RNA". It matches the Rfam family "Bacterial small subunit ribosomal RNA", at positions 523 to 896 of the family's 1533-position model. The record is from RNAcentral.
CGGGGGGGGGGGCAAGCGUUGUUCGGAAUUACUGGGCGUAAAGGGCGCGUAGGCUGGUCCAGCAAGUACCCCCCCGUGAAAUCCCACAGCUCAACUGUGGAAUUGCGAGGGAAACUGUUGGACUUGAGUCCGGGAGAGGAGAGUGGAAUUCCCAGUGUAGCGGUGAAAUGCGUAGAUAUUGGGAGGAACACCGGUGGCGAAGGCGGCUCUCUGGACCGGCACUGACGCUGAGGCGCGAAAGCUAGGGGAGCAAACGGGAUUAGAUACCCCGGUAGUCCUAGCCCUAAACGUUGAGCACUUGGUGUGGCGGGUAUCGACCCCUGCCGUGCCGAAGCUAACGCAUUAAGUGCUCCGCCUGGGGAGUACGGUCGCAAAGGCUG